GAUGAACGCUGGCGGCGUGCCUAAUACAUGCAAGUCGAGCGAACAGACGAGGAGCUUGCUCCUCUGACGUUAGCGGCGGACGGGUGAGUAACACGUGGAUACCCUACCUAUAAGACUGGGAUAACUUCGGGAAACCGGAGCUAAUACCGGAUGAUAUAUUGAACCGCAUGGUUCAAUAGUGAAAGACGGUUUUGCUGUCACUUAUAGAUGGAUCCGCGCUGCAUUAGCUAGUUGGUAAGGUAACGGCUUACCAAGGCAACGAUGCAUAGCCGACCUGAGAGGGUGAUAGGCCACACUGGAACUGAGACACGGUCCAGACUCCUACGGGAGGCAGCAGUAGGGAAUCUUCCGCAAUGGGCGAAAGCCUGACGGAGCAACGCCGCGUGAGUGAUGAAGGUCUUCGGAUCGUAAAACUCUGUUAUUAGGGAAGAACAAAUGUGUAAGUAACUGUGCACGUCUUGACGGUACCUAAUCAGAAAGCCACGGCUAACUACGUG
RNAcentral lists this ribosomal RNA (497 nucleotides) under uncultured bacterium. RNAcentral's name for it is "partial 16S ribosomal RNA". It matches the Rfam family "Bacterial small subunit ribosomal RNA", at positions 28 to 507 of the family's 1533-position model. The record is from RNAcentral.